GGUAGCUUGCGCUCCCCGGUCUCGAAGCCCCGACGAGUAGGAGGGUCGCAGCGGUGAGCGUCGAAGGGACUCCGGCGUGAGCCGGCCUGGAGCCGCCGCUGGUGCAGAUCUUGGUGGUAGUAGCAAAUACUCGAGAGAGACCCUAGAGGGCUGAUGUGGAGCAGGGUUCCAUGUGAACAUCAGUUGGACAUGGGUCAGUCGGUCCUAAGUCCAUGGCGAAGGCCAGUUCCUACCGUGCAGGCAAAUGUCAAAACGUGUUGUGUUGGGAGUGCGUGCGGCGAGAGCAGUGUUGAACUCUUGGAGCAUAAAACCUUCUUCUCCGACACGCCCUCCCCCUCACGUGUGCGUGAUAUGUCCAAAGGAUACUCUUCUGGACGAAAGGGAUUCCGGUAAAUAUUCUGGAACUUGGCUUCGGAGAUGCUCGGUGCCCUCGGUCGGUUACGGCCGGCCUUGGGAGUCACACUGUGGCAUAAACCCCAGUAAUGGGAUCAAAGCCCGCAUCCGUCGGCGGUGGCCCAGGGAAGAGUUUUCUUUUCUGUUUAAGACAUCUUUAGCCCUGGAAGCAACUUGCUAGGAGAGAGGGCUGUGGUACAAGGUAUCACUG
RNAcentral lists this ribosomal RNA (604 nucleotides) under Anaspides jarmani. RNAcentral describes it as "eukaryotic LSU rRNA". It matches the Rfam family "Eukaryotic large subunit ribosomal RNA", at positions 1359 to 1771 of the family's 3401-position model. The record is from RNAcentral. Lineage: Eukaryota; Metazoa; Arthropoda; Malacostraca; Anaspidacea; Anaspididae.